This 465-nucleotide ribosomal RNA is filed under the name Vreelandella stevensii. RNAcentral's name for it is "partial 16S ribosomal RNA". It matches the Rfam family "Bacterial small subunit ribosomal RNA", at positions 338 to 795 of the family's 1533-position model. The record is from RNAcentral. Lineage: Bacteria; Pseudomonadati; Pseudomonadota; Gammaproteobacteria; Oceanospirillales; Halomonadaceae.
CCUACGGGGGGCAGCAGUGGGGAAUAUUGGACAAUGGGGGCAACCCUGAUCCAGCCAUGCCGCGUGUGUGAAGAAGGCCCUCGGGUUGUAAAGCACUUUCAGUGAGGAAGAACGCCUGGUGGUUAAUACCCAUCAGGAAAGACAUCACUCACAGAAGAAGCACCGGCUAACUCCGUGCCAGCAGCCGCGGUAAUACGGAGGGUGCGAGCGUUAAUCGGAAUUACUGGGCGUAAAGCGCGCGUAGGUGGCUUGAUAAGCCGGUUGUGAAAGCCCCGGGCUCAACCUGGGAACGGCAUCCGGAACUGUCAAGCUAGAGUGCAGGAGAGGAAGGUAGAAUUCCCGGUGUAGCGGUGAAAUGCGAAGAGAUCGGGAGGAAUACCAGUGGCGAAGGCGGCCUUCUGGACUGACACUGACACUGAGGUGCGAAAGCGUGGGUAGCAAACAGGAUUAGAUACCCUUGUAGUC